UGCAAGUGCUCCGAAAGAGUUCUGAAU
Molecule: non-coding RNA, 27 nt
Filed under: Rattus norvegicus (Norway rat)
Lineage: Eukaryota; Metazoa; Chordata; Mammalia; Rodentia; Muridae
Source: RNAcentral